This 163-nucleotide signal recognition particle RNA is filed under the name Methanoregula sp. Its description in RNAcentral is "signal recognition particle sRNA". It matches the Rfam family "Archaeal signal recognition particle RNA", at positions 103 to 269 of the family's 317-position model. The record is from RNAcentral. Lineage: Archaea; Methanobacteriati; Methanobacteriota; Methanomicrobia; Methanomicrobiales; Methanoregulaceae.
GUGUUCUGACUGUGAAACCUCGUCCCAUGAGGUCGAUGGCCAGGUAUCAAUAUUCCGGAGGGAAUGGCGACCUGUUGCUGCGGGGACCGGUUCAGGCCCGGAAGGGAGCAGACUUACCGUAGACAUUCGGCGCCCAUGGGGUAACGGGGCGGAGGAUGAAUGC